GGGGAUUCUGUGUCCCUGCAUCCAGAAAAGGGACAGAUAUAGAAAGGGAGGAUGCGGUCUCACCGGGCCAUAAACAUAUAUGAAUCCUUCUUGGAAGGAAUCAGAAAUACUCGCAGGCCUUCUAGUUUCUGGGUAAACUGAUAGAACACAGGCUCUUUAACUGGACAGUCAAACCACAAUGCCCCCUGGUGGUGAAAUCAUGCAUAUACACAUGUCAUCACAGAUAGGAAAUUCUCCAAUAAGGUCAACACGACAAGGACAUCUGCAGUGAUCUUUCUACAUGCUCUGCCAACUUGGCACUCAUCUAUAACUUUAGAAGAGGAGGCAGAACAUCAGUGAUGACUGCAAACAUAUGCUUGAUUUUUUUAAGCAACGGGAAAAUGAAAAAUGAACGGGAGGAGGGAACACUGCUGCCUUCUGAGGACAGAAGUCGUGUUUCAAGUAGUCAGGAGUGAUGGGGAGGUGGGACGAGAAUGAAGAUUUAGGGGAAUCUGAACAAAACAAGGUGGUGUAUGGGGAAUGAGGGCAGUCAGUAAAGCCAAAUAGUACCAGGUGGAAAAAUAGCCUAAAAGAAGUACAAGUCUAAUCAUCCAAAAAUUCUAAAGCAAAACUAAAACUCCAUAGUUCAGCAAAAGACACCCUUUCAGGUGUUUAGAAGACUGUGGUUAUCCGUUUAAAGAUGUUCCUCUCUCAAGGAAUCUCUGAGAACUAUAAAUGUG
Long non-coding RNA from Homo sapiens (human), 719 nucleotides. The record is from Ensembl. NCBI's taxonomy places the organism in Eukaryota, Metazoa, Chordata, Mammalia, Primates, Hominidae.